UGCAUUCACUACUGUAAGUCGCUCUGGAUAAGAGCGUCUGCUAAAUGCCAAAAA
Non-coding RNA from Salmo salar (Atlantic salmon), 54 nucleotides. NCBI's taxonomy places the organism in Eukaryota, Metazoa, Chordata, Actinopteri, Salmoniformes, Salmonidae. The record is from Rfam.